Molecule: unclassified non-coding RNA, 4171 nt
Filed under: Anthonomus grandis grandis
Lineage: Eukaryota; Metazoa; Arthropoda; Insecta; Coleoptera; Curculionidae
Description: probable beta-hexosaminidase fdl
Source: RNAcentral
ACCUUGAUUUUCAUCAUACCUGGUGCGACGUGGUUCCGUGGAUGUUCGUUUCUUUCGUUAUUAUGUGAUCCUGCUCACUGUUUUCUGUGUGUCUGUGUGUGUAUCAACAAAGUACUUCUUCAUUUAGGAUCAUUAUUGGCGUUUGUUUGUAGACGCACCCCGGGCUGAGGAAAGAAUGAAGCAGGGAGAGCUCCGUCGCGCCUUAAUAGUCGUCACCGGACUCUGUUUCUUCUUGUUCGUCUAUUUGUACUGGCAGCAGUCCUCCAGGCCCUUACACGCCCUCAUUUUGACCUAUCGGCACGUCUAUAGCUCCACCAGGGAAUCCUUACCGCCCCAGUGGACGUGGCAAUGCGUGAAUCAGCGAUGCGAACGUCAUCAGAUAACCGGAGGAAACGUGAAAAUUACGUCGCAAAGUACGUGCGGAAUGUUGUGUGGUACGAUGCAACUGUGGCCGCUGCCCACUGGCCCCGUGACACUGGGUAGCAAAGCGCUCGUGUUCCACCAGAGCCAACUCCAAUUCGAGGCGGUGGCGUCAGGUGAGGCGAAGGAAAUGUUGGAGGAGGCCUUCGUAGCCUUCAACGACUCGAUACUUAGUUUAGUGCGUGACGACAAUUAUCUUAACGAAAAGACUGACAUUCUUAGGUUCGUGGUGCGGGUGUCGGUGACGCGUAACGACCCUACGACCCGUCUAAAGUUGAACACCGACGAGGGUUACACGUUAACGGUGAAGUUCAAAAACGGCGACGUGUUGGCUGAAGUUGGUGCGAGGAGCUACUUCGGUGCCAGGCACGGAUUGGAGACUCUGUCUCAACUUAUUUGGUGGGACGAAUACGAGGGUAGCGUGGGAUCACUAAAAGUUUUAAAAGGGGCAACUGUUCAGGACGCCCCAGCCUUUCCUUACCGUGGCCUUAUGGUAGAUACUGCCAGGAAUUUUAUGUCAAUUGAAAGUUUAAAGAGAGUUUUGGUAGGAAUGUCCGCUAGUAAACUGAACGUGUUCCAUUGGCACUUGAGUGACUCCCAAAGUUUCCCGAUGCUGCUGCCCAGUGUGCCUCAAUUAGCGAAAACCGGCUCGUAUAGUCCUCAAGAGGUUUACACCCCGGAUGAGGUUAAGGCUUUAGUGGAAUUCGCGAGGUAUCGCGGUAUAAGAACGAUUUUGGAGGUGGACGUUCCUGCGCAUGCCGGAAACGGAUGGACCUGGGGACCGCAAGAAGGUUUAGGAGAGUUGGCGGUUUGCGUCAACGAGAGGCCGUGGAGCCUCUACUGCGGAGAACCGCCCUGCGGACAGUUGAACCCGGAAAAUCCGAACGUGUACGACGUCCUGGAAAAGGUGUAUCGGGACUUAUUGGACUUAUCCGGCGAGAGGGAGAUUUUCCAUCUGGGCGGUGACGAGGUGAACCUGGAAUGUUGGGCUCAACAUUUCCAGAAAUCAAACGCGAACAAUAACCACUCGGACCUACACGAUCUGUGGGGCGAGUUUACUGGAAAAGCGUUGGCCAGACUGCAAAAAGCGAACGGGGGCUUCAAAAUCCCAAACGUCAUUAUCUGGUCCAGUAAACUCAGUAAGAGACCCUAUGUCACCAAGUAUCUGGAUAAGAAUCAAAUAACUGUUCAAAGUUGGGGUGCCAGCCAAUGGACCGAUACUCCAGAAUUAGUGGCUGACGGUUAUAAGGUCCUGGCGUCCCACGUGGAUGCCUGGUAUCUGGAUUGUGGAUUUGGCAGGUGGAGGGAAACCGGGGAGGCCGCUUGCGACCCUUACAGGCCUUGGCAGACCGUUUACAACCAUCAGCCUUGGCACCAAUUAAGACUAAGCAAAAAGAGCUUUUUGGGUGGCGAGGUUUGCCUAUGGACCGAACAAGUGAACGAAUGGAACCUGGACUCCCGAUUGUGGCCACGUGCCGCCGCAUUUGCAGAAAGGAUGUGGACAGACCCUUCGCAAGACACCACCACCUACUCGAUCCACGAGGACGUUUACACGAGACUGAGUGUCCAUAGGGAGAGGUUGAUUAGUAGAGGGUUGAAGCCGGAGGCCAUGUGGCCUACCUGGUGCUCCCAGAAUCCGGGCAUGUGCUUGUAGAUCUGAACUUGUUGUGAUAUCGUUAUUAUUUUUUUCUCGUGGGUUGAAGGGUGAUUAAUGGUGCGGUGGCAUUUUUUUCUUUAUAAAGUACGCCCAUGGUGACUCCGCCUUCACUUUAUUCUGAUUGGCUUCAAUAGGAGAGUUACAGUUUGGAUGGGCGUAUUCAAGGCAUUCAGUAGCGUACAUUUGACACUAUUGAUUUUACUUUAGAAUCAAUUGUACUAAUUUUGCAGUUUAAACAUGAUAUGUGACUACAUAAAAAUAUUUAUAAAAUAGAAAUAAACACUACUUUCUGUUUAAAUUAAAUCUGUAGAGCUUACACGAAUCAACAUAUUGCAGCUGCAAAGCAAAAUGUCCCCUUAAAACUGAUUAUGACCCAAAAAUGGCUCGUAACUUCUUUACUAAUUGACCUACAGUUAUGAUCAUCAUAAACAAACCUGAAGACUAACUCAUCAUCUGUAAGAGCCUUUUAAAAUUUUUCUAAAAUGUUCAACUGUUUAAAAGAUAUGAUCAUUUGAACUUUUCUUCACGUCAGUAGCACCUUCGAGCGUGAACCUCCAAGUUUUUGGUUGAUAACUUUUGAUCUACUGAAGGUAGAAUCAUAAAGUGAACUUUAUUCGAUUAGCAGAGAGUUGCUCAACAAUGUUGGUUAUCUUCCUUAAAGUUGUAGACACAAUACGACCGGAGAUAUUGCAGAUGCAAAUCAAAAGAUCCACUUCAAAGAGGUCAUAACCCAAAAAUGGCUCAUAUCUUUUUUACUUAUUUACCUACAGUCAUGAUUGUUAUAAACAAACUUAAAGACUUACUGAUCAUCUUUAAGAACCUUUUUAAAUUUUUCCAAAAUGUUCAACUGUUGAAGAGAUUUAAUCAUUUCAAUUUUGCAUCACGUCAGUAGCACCUUUGAGCGUCAACCUCCAGCAUUUUAGUUAAUAACUUUUGAUCUACUGAAGAUAGAGUUAUGAAAUAAACUUUAUUCGAUUAGCAGUGAGUUGCUCAACAAUGUUGGUUAUCUUCCUUAAAGUUGUAGACUCAAUACGACCGGAGAUAUUGCAGAUGCAAAUCAAAAGAUCCCUUUUAAAGAGGUCAUAACCCAAAAAUGGCUCAUAUCUUCUUUACUAAUUCACCUACAGUGAUGAUCAUCAUAAAUAAACUUGAACACUAACUGAUCAUUUUUAAAAAAUUUUUAAAAUUUUUCCAAAAUGUUUAACUGUUGAAGAGAUAUAAUCAUUUCAAUUUUGCUUCACGUCAGUAGCACCUUUGAGCGUCAACCUCCAGGGUUUUGGUUGAUAACUUUUGAUCUAGUGAAGGUAGAAUCAUGAAAUAAACUUUAUUCGAUAAGUAAUGAUUUAUUUAACAAUGUUGAUUAUAUUCAUUAAGUUUGUAACACCCAUACAAACGGAGAUAUUGUAGCUGCAAAAUCCUGUAAGAUUGGCUUAUAUUUUUUUUUAAUGUUUUGAUCAUUCUUUUACGCGUUCUGUAUCCUCUAUUUGUUCAAUUAAUUCCUCUGCUGUCAAUGUUGAUGUAGUGGAUGUGAAAGAUGGACAUAUAUUUGAUGUCUCUUUCUAUCUUCUAUAAAAUGGUUAAGAGGAAGAUAAUUUAGAAGAAGAAAAAACAAUAAUGAGAACUUAUGACCUUUUUCUUUUUACUGUCAUAAAAAUAAUAUUGUAAUAUUUAAACUUUACAUUAAAAAAAAUUAUUGAUUGCUUCAUUCCCAUAAGUCAUCCAGGGGCGUACAAUAACAUUUUGCCACUGACUGUUAACUACUUUUUCAUAUAAAUUUAUACAGAGGAGUCUCAUUUUUACAAAAACUUGUAUAUGCUUAAUUCUAAAAGAAAAAACAAUGUGAUUACAAUACAAAAAAAAAUUAUAUAUAUGUACUGAAUAUUUGGGGUUGUAUAGACAUGAAUUUACAAAUAAAUUUUACAUGAGAUUAUUAUAUAAUUGCACUUUUGUAUAUUUAUGCACCGGGGAGUUUAGUUUUGUAUAUAUUUAUUAUGUAUAUGUCCCGAUGAAUUUAACUGACCAAUAAGAUAGAUACACUUUGUUAAGUUUAUGUAGCUUAUUAGUGAUAUACGUAUAAAUAAUUUAUAUACUAAA